GGCUACCAGGAGCUCGCUGGGUCCUCCCCGCACCCUUUCCCCAGGCCUCUGCGGUAGCCCUAGAGAAAAUGGGAGGCCAAUAGGGCUCAGCGAUGCUUUUUCUUCUCCCUUUUGUUUCUUGGUCCCUCUCCCCCCAACUCUCUCCGUUACUUGAGGGUCUCCCUUGCCCAUUUCGAUGCCUGCUUCCUUUCUCCUCUAGGGUCGGUGCUGCCCCGAGAAGCGCAAGGGGUGGCUGGGGCAUCUCUCCCAAUGCCUGGGGACCUGGCACCCGCUGGACUACAAGAAGGAGAGGCUGGGGUGGGACACAGCUCCUCAGGGAACACAGAUUGCCCUCGGGGCAGCUUUUCUGCCUCAAGAUGUCCCCUUAUCUGGGGAAGCUGACAUUCAGCUAGUGCUGGUUUGAGGAGGGGGUGGGGUGAGAUUUAGAGCCAAGAGGGCCAGUCUGCCAUUUCCUCUCUGUGCGUCAUUUCCAAAAUGGGCUCAAAUGGACAGGCUCUCAAGGGCCCCACGCUGUACACACCUUCCUACCACCGCGAGGCUGGCACCAACCUUUUCAACACAUUUUGGGAAUAAUAAAAACACCCAGAUUAGAAGUUGUCAAGGACAGGUGGGAUGGGGAUAAAUAAUACUCAACAUUUUUCAUUAUUCAUAUAAUCUGCCUCUCUUAAAACUGGUAAGGAAAGGAGGGGAUCUGAUGGAAACUUGUGAAACGCCACAAGGUAAACUAAAAACCUUCAUUUUAGGCAUGAAUUAGAAUUUUGUGGGACUUGUACUUGGGCAGGAUCCACCUUGGAUCCACUUGUACUUGGGCAGCUAGGCAGGCUCCCAUGAGCUGGGCCAUAGUCUGUGAGGGUUACAAGCACUGGAAAUUAGUGCUAUAGCUGUAGUCUGUGAGGAGGGUUACAUGCACUGGAAAUUAGCAAUAUGGGCUGGAGAUAUAGCUCAACAGCACAGCACCUGCCUGGCAAGUGCGAGGUCAUGAGUUCGAUUCCCGGUAUCAAAAAGAAAAGAAAUUAAUAAUGUAUUCUAAGUUGUAAAAAAAAAAUCAUGGGUAGUUGCUGCUAGUAGACUGCCCCAUUGAUACUGUCAGAAUUACAGUAGCAAAGACUGGGUUGGGGAACAUACCUUCUCUCAAACCCAUAGGAAGAAUGUAGACGCUUAAAAGCCUUUUUACCCUUCCUGGAGUUAUGGUCAUUCUGCCUGAAUUUGCCUUACACCAGUGCUCUGUAAGGCAGAAGGCCAUGCCCUGGGUUGUUUAUUAAUUCUAGUCUGUGUUAUCUACAUAUCAGAGCUCUCUUUGGAAAGGCUUUGGACUGUAUAUGCUAUGUGAAAGGGCUGAUGUAGCCAUCUUCUAGAAUGUUCAAGACUCCCACAUCCUGUGUAGUGGGAAAGGUUGCUUGCUCUUGAAUGGAAACCUUGGGGACCUGGUAGGUGUUUUUUUCCAGAGCAGGCUUUUGGGACAGUUGUCCCUUCCUUUCUGCUUUGGCCCCUUUAGUUCUAGAUCACUUAGGGUCACCUGUGGAAUCCUUCCAAGCUCAUUCCUUGGUGGCUCUGUACUACUAGGCUGAGCUACCACAGCUUGCAUGCUUAGAAAGAUGAAGUUGAAUGAGUUCAGCCCCAGGCCUUGGCUUGAUUUCUUCAGCCACUCUUGGCAAGACCAUUAUGGUCCAUUUCAGCCCUGAUGCCUGGACAAUUCCAAAAGCCCUGGGGGAGAAGGAAGGGCAGCAUCCCCUAUGGCAAUGGUGAUGAGAUUGGAGCCUGUGGCAGGUGUGCUACAGUGGGCUGUUGGUAUCACUGAAAGCUCUACAAGCCUUGCCACCACUGCCCUGGGGGCUCUGAGAUGCCUGUUUCUCCAAAUCCAACCUAAGCAAAAUGACCUUGCAGCCUCCUUAUAGCAGGGCAGCUAGGGAGGCUCCCAUGAGCUGGGCCAGCAUUUGUGCCAUAUCUGCAGCAGCCAUAGCCCCUCACUAUCCCCAUCUAUCUCUUCUUGCAACCCAGACAACUGCCCCCCUGAUUCCAUCUCCCUGGCAACGGAUCUGCACGGUGCUGACAUGCGCCCAUCUCACUGCAGAUGCUAGAUGGCCAUUAGCGUGCUGCCGAAUGUUCCUGGCACUUGUCAGCCUCACUCUGGCCCACACUUCUUGACUGGGUGAGGGGCAGAGGAUGAGAGAACAGAGUGAAAAGGGAGGAGGUGGCCUCUUGUCCAAGCAAGGCUCACAGCCAAAAGGAGGAAGAAUGGAGCCCAGUCCUGGGGGUACAGACUGUGGGAUAAAUCUGCAUGGUAGCAGUGGCCCAUGUGGACCUUGGAUCCCCUGUGUAAUAUACACACUGUUGUAUUAGCUUGGUGCAGUUUCUACCAUAGUACCUGGAAUUCUGUCUUUGGAGUUAAUGCAAGUCCCUUUUUCAGUACCAGCAUUUCCUUGAAAGUGACCAACCAUUGGCAUCUUGACUCAAAUGGCUUUAUAACUCAAGACCUGACACUGAAGGAAAGGGAUUAAGACAGGAUAGGCUGAAGCUGAAGUCCAUAGUGGCAGUCUGCCUAGGUCAUGCAGUUUCCUCCCUGGGCCCUGGAUACUCUCCGACAUCACGCCCUGCAGAAAUCUCACCUGCAGGAAGAACCCAAUGAAAAGAACAGUGCUACACGCACACCUGCGCAGAGCACUGUCGGCAAGUGUGAGGGCUGUGUGCAUUAGAUAAUACCUGAUGGUGUCAGUGCAGUCACACUUGUGCCUUUGAUGUGUUAUCCUGUGAAAAUAAAAAAAAUUCAAAAUUGA
Cavia porcellus (domestic guinea pig) is the source of this 2774-nucleotide long non-coding RNA. RefSeq lists it as uncharacterized. The record is from RefSeq and is a predicted model, not a curated record. The transcript is spliced from 2 exons. Lineage: Eukaryota; Metazoa; Chordata; Mammalia; Rodentia; Caviidae.